RNAcentral lists this ribosomal RNA (256 nucleotides) under uncultured bacterium. RNAcentral's name for it is "partial 16S ribosomal RNA". It matches the Rfam family "Bacterial small subunit ribosomal RNA", at positions 524 to 776 of the family's 1533-position model. The record is from RNAcentral.
UACAGAGGUCCCAAGCGUUGUUCGGAUUCACUGGGCGUAAAGGGUGCGUAGGCGGUGAGGUAAGUUUGACGUGAAAUCUCCGGGCUCAACCCGGAACUGCGUUGAAUAACUAUCUCGCUAGAGGAAUGGAGGGGAGGACUGGAAUAACUUGGUGUAGCAGUGAAAUGACGUAGAUAUCAAGUGGAACACCAGUGGCGAAGGCGAGUCUCUGGACAUUUCCUGACGCUGAGGCACGAAAGCCAGGGGAGCAAACGGG